UACGUAGGUGACAAGCGUUGUCCGGAUUUACUGGGCGUACAGAGCGCGCAGGCGGUCGAUCAAGUCGAGUGUGAAAGCCCCCGGCUCAACUGGGGAGGGUCAUUCGAUACUGAUCGACUCGAAGGCAGGAGAGGGUAGUGGAAUUCCCGGUGUAGUGGUGAAAUGCGUAGAUAUCGGGAGGAACACCAGUGGCGAAGGCGACUACCUGGCCUGUUCUUGACGCUGAGACGCGAAAGCGUGGGGAGCGAACAGG
This 253-nucleotide ribosomal RNA is filed under the name uncultured bacterium. RNAcentral describes it as "partial 16S ribosomal RNA". It matches the Rfam family "Bacterial small subunit ribosomal RNA", at positions 524 to 776 of the family's 1533-position model. The record is from RNAcentral.